AGUCAAGUAAUUAAGUGCAUGUGGUGGAUGCCUUGGCAGUCAGAGGCGAUGAAAGACGUGAUAGCCUGCGAAAAGCUCCGGGGAGGCGGCAAAUAUCCUUUGAUCCGGAGAUGUCUGAAUGGGGGAACCCACCUACUUUAAGGUAGGUAUUGCAACAUGAAUACAUAGUGUUGCAAGGCGAACGAGGGGAAGUGAAACAUCUCAGUACCCUUAGGAAAAGAAAUCAAUUGAGAUUCCCUCAGUAGCGGCGAGCGAACGGGGAUCAGCCCAUUAAGUUAUGUGUGUUUUAGUGGAACGCUCUGGGAAGUGCGAACGUAGAGGGUGAUAUUCCCGUACACGAAAGGGCACACAUAAUGAUGACGAGUAGGGCGAGGCACGUGAAACCUUGUCUGAAUAUGGGGGGACCAUCCUCCAAGGCUAAAUACUCCUGACUGACCGAUAGUGAACCAGUACCGUGAGGGAAAGGCGAAAAGAACCCCUGUGAGGGGAGUGAAAUAGAUCCUGAAACCGCAUGCAUACAAGCAGUGGGAGCACCUUCGUGGUGUGACUGCGUACCUUUUGUAUAAUGGGUCAGCGACUUAUAUUCAGUAGCGAGGUUAACCGUAUAGGGGAGCCGUAGAGAAAUCGAGUCUUAAUAGGGCGUUUAGUUGCUGGGUAUAGACCCGAAACCAGGCGAUCUAUCCAUGAGCAGGUUGAAGGUUGGGUAACACUAACUGGAGGACCGAACCCACUGUCGUUGAAAAGCCAGGGGAUGACUUGUGGAUAGGGGUGAAAGGCUAAUCAAGCCUGGUGAUAGCUGGUUCUCCCCGAAAGCUAUUUAGGUAGCGCCUCGGACGAAUACCAUAGGGGGUAGAGCACUGUUUCGGCUAGGGGGUCAUCCCGACUUACCAAACCGAUGCAAACUCCGAAUACCUAUGAGUACUAUCCGGGAGACAGACUGCGGGUGCUAACGUCCGUAGUCAAGAGGAAAACAAUCCAGACCGCCAGCUAAGGCCCCAAAAUCAUAGUUAAGUGGGAAACGAUGUGGGAAGGCAUAGACAGCUAGGAGGUUGGCUUAGAAGCAGCCACCCUUUAAAGAAAGCGUAAUAGCUCACUAGUCGAGUCGGCCUGCGCGGAAGAUGUAACGGGGCUAAAACUAUGUGCCGAAGCUGCGGAUGUAUACUUUGUAUACGUGGUAGGGGAGCGUUCUGUAAGCCGAUGAAGGUGUGUUGAGAAGCAUGCUGGAGGUAUCAGAAGUGCGAAUGCUGACGUGAGUAACGACAAAACGGGUGAAAAACCCGUUCGCCGAAAGACCAAGGGUUCCAGUCCAACGUUAAUCGGGGCUGGGUGAGUCGACCCCUAAGGCGAGGCCGAAAGGCGUAGUCGAUGGGAAAAUGGUUAAUAUUCCAUUACUUCUGUGUAAUGCGAUGAGAGGACGGAGAAGGCUAAAUCAGCCUGGCGUUGGUUGUCCAGGUGAAAGGAUGUAGGCAUGUAUCUUAGGCAAAUCCGGGGUACUCUAUGCUGAGAUCUGAUAGCAAGCUGUACUUGUACAGCGAAGUGGUUGAUGCCAUGCUUCCAGGAAAAGUCUCUAAGCUUCAGUUACACAGGAAUCGUACCCGAAACCGACACAGGUGGUCAGGUCGAGUAGACCAAGGCGCUUGAGAGAACUCUGCUGAAGGAACUAGGCAAAAUGGUACCGUAACUUCGGGAGAAGGUACGCUGUUGUUGGUGAUGGAACUCGCUUCCUGAGCUGACGACAGCCGCAGAAACCAGGCCGCUGCAACUGUUUAUUAAAAACAUAGCACUCUGCAAACACGAAAGUGGACGUAUAGGGUGUGAUGCCUGCCCGGUGCUGGAAGGUUAAUUGAUGGGGUUAGCGUAAGCGAAGCUCUUGAUCGAAGCCCCAGUAAACGGCGGCCGUAACUAUAACGGUCCUAAGGUAGCGAAAUUCCUUGUCGGGUAAGUUCCGACCUGCACGAAUGGCAUAAUGAUGGCGGCGCUGUCUCCAGCAGAGGCUCAGUGAAAUCGAAAUCGCUGUGAAGAUGCAGUGUACCCGCGGCUAGACGGAAAGACCCCGUGAACCUUUACUGCAGCUUGACACUGAACUUUGACCUUACUUGUGUAGGAUAGGUGGGAGGCUUUGAAGCUGGAACGCUAGUUCCAGUGGAGCCGUCCUUGAAAUACCACCCUGGUAAUGUUGAGGUUCUAACUCUGUCCCGUGAUCCGGGACGAGGACCGUGUCUGGUGGGUAGUUUGACUGGGGCGGUCUCCUCCUAAAGAGUAACGGAGGAGUACGAAGGUGCGCUCAGCGUGGUCGGAAAUCACGCGUAGAGUAUAAAGGCAAAAGCGCGCUUAACUGCGAGACCCACAAGUCGAGCAGGUACGAAAGUAGGUCUUAGUGAUCCGGUGGUUCUGUAUGGAAGGGCCAUCGCUCAACGGAUAAAAGGUACUCUGGGGAUAACAGGCUGAUACCGCCCAAGAGUUCAUAUCGACGGCGGUGUUUGGCACCUCGAUGUCGGCUCAUCUCAUCCUGGGGCUGAAGCAGGUCCCAAGGGUAUGGCUGUUCGCCAUUUAAAGAGGUACGCGAGCUGGGUUUAGAACGUCGUGAGACAGUUCGGUCCCUAUCUACCGUGGGCGCUGGAAAUUUGAGAGGAUCUGCUCCUAGUACGAGAGGACCAGAGUGGACGAACCUCUGGUGUACCGGUUGUGACGCCAGUCGCAUCGCCGGGUAGCUAUGUUCGGAAGGGAUAACCGCUGAAAGCAUCUAAGCGGGAAGCCUACCUCAAGAUAAGAUUUCCCUAGGACUUAUGUCCUCUAAAGAGCCGUUCGAGACUAGGACGUUGAUAGGUUGGAUGUGGAAGCAUAGUGAUAUGUGAAGCUGACCAAUACUAAUUGCUCGUGAGGCUUGACUAU
Molecule: ribosomal RNA, 2892 nt
Filed under: Acinetobacter baumannii
Lineage: Bacteria; Pseudomonadati; Pseudomonadota; Gammaproteobacteria; Moraxellales; Moraxellaceae
Description: 23S ribosomal RNA
Rfam family: Bacterial large subunit ribosomal RNA
Source: RNAcentral